GCUGGGGUGGCGGAACUGGUAUACGCGCUGGUCUCAAAAACCAGUCAGGGCAACCUGGUGAGGGUUCGAUUCCCUCCCCCAGCA
Molecule: transfer RNA, 84 nt
Filed under: Candidatus Omnitrophota bacterium
Lineage: Bacteria; Pseudomonadati; Candidatus Omnitrophota
Description: tRNA-Leu
Rfam family: tRNA
About the family: Transfer RNA (tRNA) molecules are approximately 80 nucleotides in length. Their secondary structure includes four short double-helical elements and three loops (D, anti-codon, and T loops).
Source: RNAcentral